This 2830-nucleotide long non-coding RNA is filed under the name Olea europaea subsp. europaea. Lineage: Eukaryota; Viridiplantae; Streptophyta; Magnoliopsida; Lamiales; Oleaceae. The record is from RNAcentral.
AUUCAUGGUUGGUUAUCUGACGUUUUAUAUAAUUUGAAAUAGAACAAAAGAAGGUGCUAAAUUUGGGUCCCUGCCGUAUUAAAGGACUAAUUUUUGCUUAUGAUCGGCUGAUAAGUGAUACCAGACAUAUUUGAAAGAUAUCCAUGAAGAUGUUAUUUUUCUCUGUGUCAUCCUAAUUCUUAACUAAUCUGUAAGCUUUGUCUAACUUUUUACGUUUUUUCUUCUGAAAUUUAUUCAGGAAGUGGUAAAACUUUUACCAUGAAACCACUACCCCUCAAGGCUUCUAGGGAUAUUUUGAGGCUUAUGCAUCACACUUACAGGAAUCAAGGGUUUCAAUUGUUUGUAAGCUUCUUUGAGAUAUACGGAGGGAAAUUAUACGACUUACUCAGUGAUAGGAAGUAAGAUGCCCCACUAGGUUCUCACUUAAAUCAUUCAGCCAUUACUAGUCACCAUAUGGAUUUUCAAGACCUUUCAUAUUUUCUUUUUGUAGAAAGCUUUGCAUGAGAGAGGAUGGCAAGCAACAAGUUUGUAUUGUAGGCUUGCAAGAGCACAAAGUAUCAGAUGUGGAGACAAUUAAGGACCUUAUCGAGAAAGGAAAUGCAACAAGAAGUACAGGCACCACUGGAGCUAAUGAGGAAUCAUCCCGUUCACAUGCCAUUCUUCAGCUUACCAUUAAGAGGUCAGCUGAUGGCAAUGAAUCCAAACCUGCUCGAGUUGUUGGCAAGCUAUCUUUUAUAGACCUUGCUGGAAGUGAACGUGGUGCAGAUACUACUGAUAAUGAUAAGCAAACAAGGUAUAUAUAACUUCAUCAUCUUCUUCUUCCUUAGUAUUCUCUGGGAAAACAUUCAAUUUGGACAUCUGAUCUUAAAACAGAAAUCUAACAAAUGCAGAGAUGUAUUUAUCAUGUUGUGUUUGAGGGUGCAUAACAUUUGCACUUUAUAUGCUAAUAAUUAUUAUUACCCAAGUAUUGUCUGUUGUUUGAGAAAAAAAACUAUACUUAUAGUGUCCAUUGGUCUCUCAUGUUAUUUGAUAUGAUACCAACAAUUUGCAUUUUUUAAAUAAGUUCUCAGUUAGCGUUUUCUGAAUAUGCAGAAUGGAAGGAGCUGAGAUUAAUAAAAGUUUGCUUGCCUUGAAGGAAUGCAUUAGAGCUCUUGAUAAUGAUCAAGGGCACAUUCCAUUUAGAGGCAGUAAAUUAACUGAAGUCUUAAGGGAUUCAUUUGUUGGAAAUUCUCGUACUGUGAUGAUUUCAUGUGUUUCACCCAAUGCCGGAUCCUGUGAACAUACAUUAAACACAUUAAGAUACGCGGACAGGCAAGUCUCAUUUUUUAAUGAUAUAAAUCUUCUGUUGGGCAAAUGGCACCUUCUCUGUAAGGUCUUAUCUUCUUUCUUUUUAAUUAUAGGGUGAAGAGCCUUUCAAAGGGGAACAACAACAAAAAAGAUGUUUUCUCAUCAACCUCAAAUCUGAAGGAAUCAACACCACAGCCUCUGUCAUCAGUUUUACCGCCUGCAUCAACAUUUGAAGAUGACGCUGGUGAUUCGUGGCCUGAACAAACUGAUAGGGAAGAAUAUGACGAAGAGUUAUACGAGACAGAGAAGCCAGUAUGGACAAAAAACUCAAAAGUUGAAUCAUACAGUUUUUCUAAGAUGGACGAUAAAAUGAGAGCCAAUGGCCAGUCAAAGUGGAAGGAACCCCUUAAGUCGGAUGUGAAAUACUCGAAUUCUGACGAAGACUUGAACUCUCUUUUGAAAGUAAGACUACUAGAAAUUGCUUUUUAACAACAGAUCGAGUCCAGUCCAGGCGCUGACUUCUGUGACUCUUUGAUUCUUUAGGAAGAGGAAGAUCUCGUAAAUGCCCAUAGAAGACAAGUGGAGGAGACAAUGGAUAUUGUUCGAGAGGUUAGUGAUAAUCUUAUAGCAGCCCUAACAUGUCCUUUUUUUUUUUUUCGUCGGUGAUGGAAUAGAAGAAUAUUAGUUGGAUCAAAACCAAUUUAUUACUUUCACAUUACUCAUACACUGUUCCGGCCUUGAAUCUAGACACCGUCUUCGGUUGUUAGCAUUGGCAGCUUUACGAUACUAUUGAGUGUUCUCUUUUGUAUUUUGAUGCUUUCUAUACGAGGUCUCAAGUAUAUUCGGUGUUGAUUUAGAUGGAUCACGUCUUUCAUAUGAUUAUGAUGCAAAUUACCAGCAUUCAUGGUAGAGAGUUUACCUGAAUUAUAGCCAUCUCAUUUUCUGUUAAUUGAUUUGAAAGUUAAUUCAUUUUAUAAACGUAGAUUGGUGUAUCUCAUUUUAUUUUACAAGUUGUAUUCUUAAGUCUAUGCACCUUCAUCAAAUUUUACUUUACCAUUUGCAGGAGAUGAAUCUAUUGGUUGAGGCAGAUCAACCAGGGAAUCAGCUAGAUGAUUAUGUCACUAGAUUGAAUUCAAUCUUGUCCCAAAAGGCUGCCGGUAUUUUACAGUUACAGAAUCGCUUGGCUCAUUUCCAAAGACGAUUAAAAGAGCACAACGUCAUAGUAUCUUCUGGUAAUUAAGUGUCAUACGACAAUGCACAUAGAAUUCGGUGUGAUGCAUAUUGCUUGGGAUAGUAGCUUACAAUAUCAUUAUUAUUUAACAAAAUCAUACGGCAGAUGCCAUUUGCUUUGCAGCUAAGUAAUUCUUAGUAUCAUUCUUAGCUUACAAUAUGAAUGUUUCUCUGCUUGUUUAUGAUUGAUAGUAAAUUAUUUUCAUCUGCUGAUCACGUUGACUUUGGAAGGCUACUAAGGAUUGAGUGAAUAAUGGAAAACAUACGCAAGGCCUCGAUCGUGGCCUUCCCAUUUUUCUUGGAGAAGCUUGUC